ACAGCAGUCGCCGCGGUAAUACGGAGGGUGCAAGCGUUAAUCGGAAUUACUGGGCGUAAAGCGCACGCAGGCGGUCUGUCAAGUCAGAUGUGAAAUCCCCGGGCUUAACCUGGGAACUGCAUUUGAAACUGGCAGGCUAGAGUCUUGUAGAGGGGGGUAGAAUUCCAGGUGUAGCGGUGAAAUGCGUAGAGAUCUGGAGGAAUACCGGUGGCGAAGGCGGCCCCCUGGACAAAGACUGACGCUCAGGUGCGAAAGCGUGGGGAGCAAACAGGAUUAGAUACCCGAGUAGUCCCUGUCUCUUAUAC
Molecule: ribosomal RNA, 305 nt
Filed under: uncultured bacterium
Lineage: Bacteria
Description: partial 16S ribosomal RNA
Rfam family: Bacterial small subunit ribosomal RNA
Source: RNAcentral